CAAGGGGUAGUUUAAGAAAAAUUUUAGCUUUGGGAGCUAAAGACGGGAGUUAGACCCUCCUCCCCUUGA
This 69-nucleotide transfer RNA is filed under the name Sudis atrox (fierce pike smelt). RNAcentral describes it as "tRNA-Pro". It matches the Rfam family "tRNA". Rfam says of the family: Transfer RNA (tRNA) molecules are approximately 80 nucleotides in length. Their secondary structure includes four short double-helical elements and three loops (D, anti-codon, and T loops). The record is from RNAcentral. Lineage: Eukaryota; Metazoa; Chordata; Actinopteri; Aulopiformes; Paralepididae.